This 828-nucleotide long non-coding RNA is filed under the name Camarhynchus parvulus. RNAcentral describes it as "lncRNA (ENSCPVG00000018266.1)". The record is from RNAcentral. Lineage: Eukaryota; Metazoa; Chordata; Aves; Passeriformes; Thraupidae.
CCAAAAAUCCCCCCAAAAUCCUCAUUUUUCCCCCAAAAAUCCCCCCAAAUCCCCAUUUUCCCCCCAAAAUCCUCAUUUUUUCCCCAAAAUCCCCAUUUUUUUCCCCAAAAUCCCCAUUUUUUCCCCAAAAUUCCCAUUUUUUUCCCAAAAUCCCCAUUUUUCCCCAUUUUUCCCCAUUUCCCCACUGUCCCCUGACCGCGUGGCCGCCGUUCCCCCGCAGCCCGCCAGGCGGCGCUCGAGGCCGCGCUGCGCUCCCUGGGCCCCGCUUUCCUGGCCGAGUUCCAGCGCCGCCGCUCCGCGCAUGCGCACGACUCGCCUCGCCGUGCCGCCCGCAGAGCUCCGAGGGUUCCGCGCGCCGAGGGCGGGGCCGGGGGCGGGGCCGGGCCAAGCUCCGCCCCCGAGGCCGCCAAAAGGGAACGGGCCGGGGAGGAGGAGGAGGAGGGGAGACCGGGAAGAGCCAGCCCUACAACCGGCUGCUGCGCGAGGAGCUGCUGAGCUGCAGCACGGUGCUGCAGCUCUCGGAGCUGCCCGACUCGGGCUUCUCCGACCAGGACAUCAAGCGGCUGGUGCAGCCCCUCGGCAAGGUCAGCGACCUCAUCGUGCUGCGCUCCCGCAACGAGGUCAGCCCCAAACCCGGCGAUUUCCACCCCAAUUCCCGACCCCAACGGGCCCAGCUGCUCUGGCGUUUUACACGUGCAGAAAUGGUUUUUUUCCUUCUCUUUUUCCCCCUUUUUUCCUGGUUUUUUUCCCCUGCUUUUCCCCCUUCCCAUUCCCUUUCUUCUCUCUUUUUCCCCCUCCUCUUUUUUCCAUUCUUCCCCUUUUUUCCCC